Molecule: long non-coding RNA, 406 nt
Organism: Danio aesculapii
Lineage: Eukaryota; Metazoa; Chordata; Actinopteri; Cypriniformes; Danionidae
Exons: 2
Source: RefSeq, a predicted model, not a curated record
GGGAUAUAAGUAUUGGCGCGCUCAGAGCUCGGUCUCUUUCCCGAUGUCUGUUGAGAGGAGAGGCAAAAGAGCGACUCAACUGAUAUUGAGAGAGUGACUGCCUGGUUGUGUGUGUUGUACAGGUAUGUAAAUUGAUAUUUAGGAAACACUAUUGCUGUAAUUGUGAAUAUUAAUAUAUUUUUAUAUAAGAAUUAUAUAUAUUCAUAUUGUUAUUAUUAUUAUUGUUAUUUUAUAUUAGUAUUAUACAUUCUGUGUAUGUACAUGUGAAAGUGUAUAUGGAGAGUUCGCUCUCUUUCCCGAUGUCUGUUGAGAGGAGAGGCAAAAGAGCGACUCAACUGAUAUUGAGAGAGUGACUGCCUGGUUGUGUGUGUUGUACAGGCACAAUAAAAUCACCUCAGCACGACCA